Molecule: long non-coding RNA, 283 nt
Filed under: Lathyrus oleraceus (garden pea)
Lineage: Eukaryota; Viridiplantae; Streptophyta; Magnoliopsida; Fabales; Fabaceae
Description: Pisum sativum (pea) long non-coding RNA (PSAT_LNC040769)
Source: RNAcentral
UCACUUUGUUGAGGUUGGACGAAGCCGAUUUGAUUAGUAGUGACCGCAGAUUCGAUCAGGCUUUGAUCCGUCGUGUGAGAGAGGAAAACGUUUCACGCACCACAAGUGUGUUAUCUGUUUUCUUUUUGAUCUAAAAUUAGAAUAUGGGGAAUGAUAGUUGAGCUGAUUCAUGGUCGCAUUUUGAAACUGAAGGCGUUUUCUUGGUUCUUCAUGGAAGCCAGUUUUAGGUUUGGAAACAUGGGCCUUUGGCCCAAGAAAAUUCGUGUUCGUACACCUCACUCCC